Molecule: ribosomal RNA, 1258 nt
Filed under: metagenome
Description: bacterial LSU rRNA
Rfam family: Bacterial large subunit ribosomal RNA
Source: RNAcentral
GGGCAUAUGGACCGUACCCGAAACCGACACAGGUGGACUGGAUGAGUAUUCCAAGGCGCUUGAGAGAACCAUGCUGAAGGAACUAGGCAAAUUGCCCGCGUAAGUUAGCGAUAAGCGGACCCAUCUGUGGGCAACCAUGGGUGGGUGGCACAGACCAGGGGGUGGCGACUGUUUAGUAAAAACACAGGGCUCUGCGAAAUCGUGAGAUGACGUAUAGGGUCUGACGCCUGCCCGGUGCCGGAAGGUUAAAGGGAGGAGUGCAAGCUCCGAACUGAAGCCCCGGUAAACGGCGGCCGUAACAAUAACGGUCCUAAGGUAGCGAAAUUCCUUGUCGGGUAAGUUCCGACCUGCACGAAUGGCGUAACGACCUCCCCACUGUCUCCAGCAUGGGCUCAGUGAAAUUGAAUUCCCCGUGAAGAUGCGGGGUACCCGCGGUCAGACGGAAAGACCCUAUGAACCUUUACUGCAGCUUGGCAGUGGCGCCAGGAAGGGACUGUGUAGGAUAGGUGGGAGGCAUUGAAGCCGGGGCGCCAGCCUUGGUGGAGCCAACCUUGAAAUACCACCCUGUGCCUUUCUGGCGUCUAACCGAACCCCGUUAUCCGGGGUCGGGACCCUGCCUGGUGGGCAGUUUGACUGGGGCGGUCGCCUCCCAAAAGGUAACGGAGGCGCGCGAUGGUGGGCUCAAGCCGGUCGGACAUCGGCUGUUGAGUGCAAAGGCACAAGCCCGCCUGACUGUGAGCGCGACAGCGCGAGCAGGGACGAAAGUCGGCCUUAGUGAUCCGGUGGUCCCGCAUGGAAGGGCCAUCGCUCAACGGAUAAAAGGUACUCUAGGGAUAACAGGCUGAUCUCCCCCAAGAGUCCACAUCGACGGGGAGGUUUGGCACCUCGAUGUCGGCUCAUCGCAUCCCGGGGCUGGAGCAGGUCCCAAGGGUUCGGCUGUUCGCCGAUUAAAGCGGUACGUGAGCUGGGUUUAGAACGUCGUGAGACAGUUCGGUCCCUAUCUGCCGUGGGUGUUGGAGACUUGAGAGGAUCUUUCCCUAGUACGAGAGGACCGGGAAGGACGCACCUCUGGUGCACCGGUUGUCACGCCAGUGGCAUCGCCGGGUAGCCAAGUGCGGAAUGGAUAACCGCUGAAGGCAUCUAAGCGGGAAACCAGCCUCAAGACUAGGUCUCCCUAAGGGCCGUGCAAGACCAGCACGUCGAUAGGCCGCAGGUGGAAGUCGGGUAACCGACGUAGCCGAGCGGUCCUAAUCACACA